This is an RNA transcript of Musa acuminata AAA Group (dessert banana), 1503 nucleotides long. RefSeq lists it as uncharacterized. The record is from RefSeq and is a predicted model, not a curated record. NCBI's taxonomy places the organism in Eukaryota, Viridiplantae, Streptophyta, Magnoliopsida, Zingiberales, Musaceae. The transcript is spliced from 7 exons.
ACGACCUUUACAUAUAUGCAAUUUUGCCAACCCUCGCACCGUCUCCUACACGACUCUCUCUUUCUCUCUCUCUCUCUCUCUUCACUGUCAUGGAGGCGCUUGUCUGCAUGAAGCUCGGUGAUCCCACCGUCCCCAUGACCUCCGAUUCGUCCCCGAUCGCGGCGGUCACCAAAUUCCACCCCGUCCCCGCGAUCUCCUCCUCGACCUCGGUCCGAGUCCGGAUCCGGGCCACGAGCCUCAACUUCGCCAAUUACCUCCAGAUACUGGGCCGUUACCAGGAGAAGCCCCCCCUCCCCUUCAUCCCGGGCUCCGACUACUCCGGCGUCGUCGAAUCCGUCGGAAGCGGCGUCUCCAGGUUCAAGGUCGGGGAUAAAGUUUGCUCCUUUGCUGCCCUCGGGUCCUUUGCCGAGUUCAUUGUCGUCGACGAGAAAGACCUAUUCUUAGUGCCCGAGGGAUGUGACCUAAUUGCUGCUGCUGCUUUACCUGUUGCUUUUGGGACUUCACAUGUAGCUCUUGUUCAUAGAGCACAACUAAAACCUGGUCAGGUACUGCUUGUCCUUGGUGCCGCUGGUGGUGUUGGUAUUUCAGCUGUGCAGAUAGGAAAAGUUUGUGGGGCAAUUGUUAUUGCUGUUGCAAGGGGUGAUGAAAAGGUGCAAUUUCUCAAGUCGCUGGGUGUCGAUUAUGCCGUUGACUUGGGAAAGGGGAACAUCAUUGAAAGUGUGAAGAAUUUCCUCAAGUCGAGAAAUCUGAAAGGAGUUGAUGUUCUAUAUGAUCCAGUUGGGGGUAAACUUACAAAAGAGUGCAUGAAGCUUCUUAACUGGGGCGCAAAUAUUCUUAUCAUUGGAUUUGCAAGUGGUGAAGUUCCAGUCAUCCCAGCAAAUAUUGCUCUUGUGAAGAACUGGACAGUUCAUGGACUUUAUUGGGGCAGCUACAAACUGCAUCAACCACAUAUCCUAAGAAAUUCUCUUGAGGAGCUGCUAUCCUGGUUGUCAAAGGGGUUGUUAACUGUUCAUAUAUCUCAUUCCUAUAGUUUAUCACAGGCAGAUCUGGCUUUUGCUGCUAUUAAAGAUAGGAAAGCCAUUGGCAAGGUGAUGAUUGCUUUAGGGGGCUCCACUGCAGGAAGAUCAAAGCUCUGAUAUGCCACAGGAUUGUAACAGGUAGCAGCAGAUGGUGCAGCACAAAUGAUCUCUGUAAUAAAUGCAGAUACCCUAGUGAUCCUCACAAUGUUGUGGGAGCUGCAACUAUAUUUCAGUGGGAUUUAGAUCGAGGUUUUUCACAUUGUUAUAAUGGUUGGUUGUUGUGUUGGUUGCUUUCGAUACAACAAUCGUCAAUAACUGAAUCUAUCGAGUGGUGGCCUCUGUGAAGGACUUGUGGUAAGUUAAUUUGGCCUCCUCUUAAAGGAUCAGCUAAUGUGGAGUGUCUCAAGAAACGAACUCCAUGUCCUUUCAUUGUGGUUUAGUAUAAAUAUUGCUCAGCACUGAUGAUGGAUCAUGCAGUUUGAUA